This 414-nucleotide ribosomal RNA is filed under the name uncultured Trebouxiophyceae. RNAcentral's name for it is "bacterial SSU rRNA". It matches the Rfam family "Bacterial small subunit ribosomal RNA", at positions 357 to 786 of the family's 1533-position model. The record is from RNAcentral. Lineage: Eukaryota; Viridiplantae; Chlorophyta; Trebouxiophyceae.
GGGAAUUUUCCNCAAUGGGCGAAAGCCUGACGGAGCAAUGCCGCGUGGAGGAUGACGGCCUGUGGGUUGUAAACUCCUUUUUUCAGAGAAGAAGAUCUGACGGUAUCUGAGGAAUAAGCAUCGGCUAACUUCGUGCCAGCAGCCGCGGUAAUACGAGGGAUGCAAGCGUUAUCCGGAAUUAUUGGGCGUAAAGCGUCCUGAGGUGGCUUAAAAAGUCGUUCGUGAAAGCUCAGGGCUUAACCUUGAAAUUGCGGCCGAAACUUCUAAGCUUGAGUAUAGUAGGGGCAGAGGGAAUUUCCGGAGGAAUGGUGAAAUAUGUAGAUAUCGGAAAGAAGGCCAAAGGCGAAAGCACUCUGCUGGGCUAAUACUGACACUGACAGACGAAAGCUAGGGGAGCGAAUGGGAUUAGAUACC